Pelodiscus sinensis (Chinese soft-shelled turtle) is the source of this 2361-nucleotide non-coding RNA. The record is from RefSeq and is a predicted model, not a curated record. Lineage: Eukaryota; Metazoa; Chordata; Testudines; Trionychidae.
AACCCUAUAAAUAAGACUUUUUUGAAAAACCUCUCCAAACCAUAAGGCUGGGGGCAGAAAGCUAACACACAGCAAGGAGGUAGCACCCACUGAAGGAAAAUAGCUUUUGUGUAUCCUUGUGAAAGUUUCCUUUGAUUUGACAUGAAUUACGAGUCCAUUGGAAAUAACAUGUCAUGCAUGCACAGUUCACUAGGCACAGGGCUUUUUACUACACUAACAGUGUGUUUAAUUAAGGGAGGAUUCAUAUUGCAUGGCGACCAAGCUUAGCUAGACAGAGAAAAGUGUUAUGAGAAGAAAGGAUCCCUGGGAAAUGUUACCUUCCUUAACUGUGUGGCUCCUAAGAUUUUUAAGGAUGUGGCUCUCAGGUGCUCCUAAAGGAAAUAUACUGCCGGUCCCCAAAGAAUUUACAAUCAAACCAUACAAGCAGCGUAUGAGGGAGAACGCAGGAGGCGGCAAUCAAAAUGUAUACAAGAUAGAAUUUUCAGAAUCACUCACUGGCAGCCUGACUUCCACAGAAGUCCAUGGAAGUUUAAGUACCUUUCAAGACCCUGCCCAUAACGUUUAUGUAUAUUAUAUUCAUGUUGAUAUACUUAAAUUUCUCUACUGCCUCAAACCUGUCCAUUCUCAACUGCCUAAUAUUUUGCAGGCAUUAAGGCAGAGAUGUGUUUUGAGGAGAAAGGGCAAGGUCCUUACAGAUCAAACAGCGAUAAUAUCUAUAGCGGUUUUAUGAUGGCAGCAGCUGUCCAUUUGGGAUGAUGAUGAGCACACCAAAUAUUAUUCCAAAUAUUGUGAGGCAAGUCUGUAUUUUAAUGUAGGAGUCCAUGGGUGAAAUACUAGUGACGUGGUUUUCUGGGCCAUCUAUCAUUAUUAAUUCUUUCAUUUGUAGGAGAAAGAAUGCCAAAUGUGAGAACUUAGGGCUUCUAUUUACUUUCUGGCUUGAAUAUCUAGAGGGAAAAUAGAUGAAUGGAUUCUGCGAACUUUUCAGUUUUGUGUUCUCUAUGCUGUGUAUGUGUGUUAAGAAUGCUGCUUGUUAACAGCAACAUUUUGUUUACACAAUCAUAAUAAAAGACAAAAUGGCUACCAUUGUAAGACUUCCAAGUACAAUUUUAGCUGAAGACAUAGCUUUGAAAAUUUAUCAUUUUUAUGUUUCUCAAUUACAUCAGUGACGAGGCUUCACUUGACAAGAUAGAGUCAUUCAUUUAUUCUCUUUGCAAUGGCUUGCCCCUACAGGAUCCAGACUGUGCAAGGCCACUAGUUGGCACCAGCCAAGGACUGGUCUUGUGACACCAUGUCAAUCUCAGUAAGUCACAGACGAGACAUUCAAUUCUCUAUAGCAGGUUGCUGUAUAGCUGUUUUCAAAAACAAUUAGUUAAUGAAAGAAGGAUCCAAAACACUGACUAAGGCUGAGCACAAAGAAUCCUUAACAUUUUCCUUGUGACCCAUUCUUAAUGAAAAAGAGAAAGUGAUAAAGAUGAGACUGCAAAGGAUCCUGUUUACAGGAUCUUGUCAAAAGAACUGAUGAAAAUUAAAUAAGGCUCGUUUUAGUUGCUACUGCCUUCAAUUAAUGAAGGAACCACUUCCAGUCAUAAUAAUUACCAUAUGUGCACUGUGCUUUACCUCUGGGCAUGUUAAUUCCACACAUAAGAGGAUACUGCUAUUAGGCUGCACUAGAACACAUUGAUGUCACAAUAGAAAUGCUCCCACUGUAAUAUUCUGUUACACAAACUGAUUUGGAUGAUAGAGAAACAGGAGUCAGCACUGACUAACAGACAACUGUCUGGUUGUCAUUCCUCUCUCUGUGCUCAAACACAAAAAUAGUAUUGCAACAGAAGGAAAACAACAGAUCGCUUAGCUGUUCAGCAGACAAAGCCUUCACAGUCUUGAGAGACAGACGCUGUCUCCCAGAUAGUUGCAACACUGUUCUGGCAGGGAAACCGAGGGACUGCAACUCUCAGUCUCACAAUGAGCCAGUGGAAGAGCCAAGUAAAGAUCCCAGGAGACCUGAAUCCCAACCCCGCUAUCAAGUCAUCAUACCAUUUGGAGGACUGAUCUACUCCUACAGAAGACUCCUGAUAACUUUCCUGGAAAUUGGAAAAGUCCUUGUUUCCUAUUAUUAAACUAGCAGUAAUGGUUCAUAACAUUUAAAACUACCAGUCCCUAUUGACUUAAACAGGGCCAGGAGUUCAACCAUGAAUCUUUAAAAUGCUAAGAAGAAUGCACAUUUUAGGGAAUAGUAGGGUAACAGGACUGAAGUUCUCUGUUUACUCUUGAUCUACAAAGAAAAAGUUUUAUGGAGUGCUCUUUCCAAGUUGAAGGCAUGAUGAUUAUUUUCUGCUGGAAAACAUUCUGGCUCGUUUACAG